RNAcentral lists this long non-coding RNA (231 nucleotides) under Anas zonorhyncha (Eastern spot-billed duck). RNAcentral's name for it is "lncRNA (ENSAZOG00000006573.1)". Lineage: Eukaryota; Metazoa; Chordata; Aves; Anseriformes; Anatidae. The record is from RNAcentral.
AACAGUUUUAUGCUGAUUAUCAACCAAUUAACCUUUGCUUUUUUUCUGAACCGCAUCUAUUCAAUGUCUGCAUUUGAUUUUGUUUUAUUUUUUUUCCAGGCUGAAAGGAUUAUCCUGUUGCAUUGUAAACAACCACUAAACCUUCUAAAGAGAUUUCUCAUCUGCACUGUUUUGCUGGUAGUGAUGAAAUGGAUAUCUGUGGAAAUAUUCCCUUUUUGGAAUAUUGGAUGA